GGAGUCUAGCAUGUGCGCGAGUCAUUGGGACUAGCGAAACCUAAAGGCGAAAUGAAAGUGAAGAUCGGCCUUGCGCCGAUCGAGGGAGGAUGGGCCGCGCCACGUCGCGGCCCCGCACUCCCGGGGCGUCUCGUUCUCAUCGCGAGAAGAGGCGCACCCAGAGCGUACACGCUGGGACCCGAAAGAUGGUGAACUAUGCCUGGUCAGGACGAAGUCAGGGGAAACCCUGAUGGAGGUCCGAAGCGAUUCUGACGUGCAAAUCGAUCGUCGGAACUGGGUAUAGGGGCGAAAGACUAAUCGAACCAUCUAGUAGCUGGUUCCCUCCGAAGUUUCCCUCAGGAUAGCUGGCGCUCGCUUUUGCGAGUCUCAUCUGGUAAAGCGAAUGAUUAGAGGCAUUGGGGUCGAAACGGCCUCAACCUAUUCUCAAACUUUAAAUGGGUGAGAUCUCCGGCUUGCUUGAAAAUUGAAGCCGCGAGAUCGGAUCAGAGUGCCAAGUGGGCCAUUUUUGGUAAGCAGAACUGGCGCUGUGGGAUGAACCAAACGCAGAGUUAAAGCUCCUAAAUCGACGCUUAUGGGAUACCAUGAAAGGCGUUGGUAACUUAAGACAGCAGGACGGUGGCCAUGGAA
This 627-nucleotide ribosomal RNA is filed under the name Calochromus sp. UPOL 000L16. RNAcentral describes it as "eukaryotic LSU rRNA". It matches the Rfam family "Eukaryotic large subunit ribosomal RNA", at positions 670 to 1259 of the family's 3401-position model. The record is from RNAcentral. Lineage: Eukaryota; Metazoa; Arthropoda; Insecta; Coleoptera; Lycidae.